This 502-nucleotide ribosomal RNA is filed under the name uncultured Glomeromycotina. RNAcentral describes it as "partial small subunit ribosomal RNA". It matches the Rfam family "Eukaryotic small subunit ribosomal RNA", at positions 591 to 1092 of the family's 1831-position model. The record is from RNAcentral. Lineage: Eukaryota; Fungi; Glomeromycota.
CCAAUAGCGUAUAUUAAAGUUGUUGCAGUUAAAAAGCUCGUAGUUGAACUUCGGGAUUUGCCCAUUGGUCAGGCUUAACUGUCUGCACUGGUGUGACGAGUUCCUACCUUCUGAGGAAUCUCCAUGUCAUUCAGUUGGUGUGGGGGGAAAUCAGGACUGUUACUUUGAAAAAAUUAGAGUGUUUAAAGCAGGCGUCCGUCUGAAUACAUUAGCAUGGAAUAAUAAAAUAGGACGGUUUGGUUCUAUUUUGUUGGUUUCUAGGAUCACCGUAGUGAUUAAUAGGGAUAGUUGGGGGCAUUAGUAUUCAAUUGUCAGAGGUGAAAUUCUUGGAUUUAUUGAAGACUAACUACUGCGAAAGCAUUUGCCAAGGAUGUUUUCAUUAAUCAAGAACGAAAGUUAGGGGAUCGAAGACGAUCAGAUACCGUCGUAGUCUUAACCAUAAACUAUGCCGACUAGGGAUCGGACGAAGUUAAUUUUUUAAUGACUCGUUCGGCACCUUACG